GGUAGCUCAGUGGUACAGCGCUUGCCUCACAUGCAUGAGGCCCUGGGUUCAAUUCCUCAGUACCA
RNAcentral lists this transfer RNA (65 nucleotides) under Dipodomys ordii (Ord's kangaroo rat). It matches the Rfam family "tRNA". From Rfam's summary of the family: Transfer RNA (tRNA) molecules are approximately 80 nucleotides in length. Lineage: Eukaryota; Metazoa; Chordata; Mammalia; Rodentia; Heteromyidae. The record is from Rfam by way of RNAcentral.